CCUACGGGGCGCAGCAGUGGGGAAUAUUGGGCAAUGGGCGCAAGCCUGACCCAGCAACGCCGCGUGAAGGAAGAAGGCUUUCGGGUUGUAAACUUCUUUUCUGAGGGACGAAGGAAGUGACGGUACCUCCGGAAUAAGCCACGGCUAACUACGUGCCAGCAGCCGCGGUCAUACGUAGGUGGCAAGCGUUAUCCGGAUUUAUUGGGUGUAAAGGGCGUGUAGGCGGGAAUGCAAGUCUGAUGUGAAAACUAUGUGCUCAACCCAUAUCCUGCACUUGAAACUGUGUUUCUUUAGUGCU
This 298-nucleotide ribosomal RNA is filed under the name uncultured bacterium. RNAcentral's name for it is "partial 16S ribosomal RNA". It matches the Rfam family "Bacterial small subunit ribosomal RNA", at positions 338 to 650 of the family's 1533-position model. The record is from RNAcentral.